Molecule: long non-coding RNA, 1202 nt
Organism: Mus musculus (house mouse)
Lineage: Eukaryota; Metazoa; Chordata; Mammalia; Rodentia; Muridae
Product: predicted gene, 34222
Exons: 4
Source: RefSeq, a predicted model, not a curated record
GAUCAGGCCGGCGGCUGUUUGACACUUCAUCCGCGGUCUCAGCGGGUGCACAAUGGCCAGAUACCUGGGUCUCUGGCCAGGCACUGGUCCAUCAUAUCUCCUGAAGCCUGCAAAGCUCAAAGUUAAGUAACCCUGACAGUUCCACCUUGAACAGUCGAUGGGAAAAGGCGUCCUUUCCAACCCAAGCGUGGGCCAAAGAGCCUGGGCGACAGGAUUCAGCACCAUUGGACACAGACCCUGGCUGUUUUCCUCCGCACCCUAGGCCAGAGAAGAGGAGUCUCCCAGCAGUUUGCAAGCAGCAGACCAGGUUACAUACACCUGUUUCCACAUCAAAGAGGGACUGGAGAGGCCCUGUCCCAGGGCUGGGGUGGAGGUUCUGCAGUGGCCGGAAGCAUCCUCGCCUCCUGGCUUCCUCAAACGCUGGACCCACCUCUGAGAAAACCUCUCCUCCCUUUUGUUGAUCAUGUUCACUAGAUUCUCCUCUGAGCUGCCUCCUUUACCCACUACACUGGCCUUCUCCAAACUUCACUGAGAAGGUAACCCUUGCUUACUAAUUAACCAUCUCGCAAUUAGCUCCUGGUCUGGAGAGAUCUCAUCUAUGCCUUUUCUCAUUUUGCUGUCAGUGAGUGUGGGGCACCUAGUUUUAACAACUAAUAACGCUUUACCCUGUCAAUGGUUUGCUACUGGGUGAACAGAAACGCUCACUGUUAGAAAGACCACAAUCAUUUUUGGGAAAGAGGAUGGAGAUGCGUUUACUUAGCUUGAGCCUUCAGUGGGUUGCCGUGCGAAGCAACUGAAGGCUGGGAAUGCAGUGGAGGGGUGGGGCGGGUUAGAGCUGAGCGUGGCAGGUGUGGCCCAGCAGGUGUGCUGCCUUGGACAGGACAUUUCACUUCGGUCCUCUGCUUGCAGAGAAUAUGUAUCAGCUGUUUCAUCAAGAAUCCAGAGUUAUGUUCAAGAGGAGCCUUUCGUUUACAGCCUUGCUUACUUUCCUUAAGUCACAAAGCCUUCUCUCUGUUCCUGGAAUGCGUCAGGCUUGUGCCUGCCUCCAGGCUUUUGUGCUUGUACAUCCCUUUAUCCAAGACACUUUCUCCCAGUCCUCACGCUGUGAACCCUCUGCUUCAUUCCUGGGUCCCCCAAAUGUCUUCUCAGAGACACCUCUCCUGACCUGCCUAGCUCUCCUACUCGGGCGUUUCUGGUGUUUU